GCUGGGAUGGCAGAUUGGCUAUGCGCCUGACUGCAGAUCAGGAUAGUGGGGUUCGAUUCCCUAUCCCAGCU
This 71-nucleotide transfer RNA is filed under the name Microcaldota archaeon. RNAcentral's name for it is "Micrarchaeota archaeon tRNA". It matches the Rfam family "tRNA". Rfam says of the family: Transfer RNA (tRNA) molecules are approximately 80 nucleotides in length. Their secondary structure includes four short double-helical elements and three loops (D, anti-codon, and T loops). Further hydrogen bonds mediate the characteristic L-shaped molecular structure. tRNAs have two regions of fundamental functional importance: the anti-codon, which is responsible for specific mRNA codon recognition, and the 3' end, to which the tRNAs corresponding amino acid is attached (by aminoacyl-tRNA synthetases). tRNAs cope with the degeneracy of the genetic code in two manners: having more than one tRNA (with a specific anti-codon) for a particular amino acid; and 'wobble' base-pairing, i.e. permitting non-standard base-pairing at the 3rd anti-codon position. RNAcentral also lists the same sequence under 1 other name. The record is from Rfam by way of RNAcentral. Lineage: Archaea; Nanobdellati; Microcaldota.